RNAcentral lists this ribosomal RNA (521 nucleotides) under uncultured bacterium. RNAcentral's name for it is "bacterial SSU rRNA". It matches the Rfam family "Archaeal small subunit ribosomal RNA", at positions 345 to 866 of the family's 1478-position model. The record is from RNAcentral.
AACCUCCGCAAUGUGAGAAAUCGCGACGGGGGGAUCCCAAGUGCCAUUCUUAACGGGAUGGCUUUUCUUAAGUGUAAAAAGCUUUUGGAAUAAGAGCUGGGCAAGACCGGUGCCAGCCGCCGCGGUAACACCGGCAGCUCUAGUGGUAGCUGUUUUUAUUGGGCCUAAAGCGUUCGUAGCCGGUUUGAUAAGUCACUGGUGAAAUCCUGUAGCUUAACUGUGGGAAUUGCUGGUGAUACUGUUGAACUUGAGGUCGGGAGAGGUUAGCGGUACUCCCAGGGUAGAGGUGAAAUUCUGUAAUCCUGGGAGGACCACCUGUGGCGAAGGCGGCUAACUGGAACGAACCUGACGGUGAGGGACGAAAGCUAGGGGCGCGAACCGGAUUAGAUACCCGGGUAGUCCUAGCCGUAAACGAUGCGGACUUGGUGUUGGGAUGGCUUUGAGCCGCUCCGGUGCCGAAGGGAAGCUGUUAAGUCCGCCGCCUGGGAAGUACGGUCGCAAGACUAAAACUUAAAGGAAUU